Molecule: long non-coding RNA, 605 nt
Organism: Homo sapiens (human)
Lineage: Eukaryota; Metazoa; Chordata; Mammalia; Primates; Hominidae
Product: long intergenic non-protein coding RNA 2836
Source: Ensembl
AACAUAGAAUACUCCCAAGCAACAUUCAGCUUUGAUUUUCCAUCUAUGCUGGAAAAUGCUAGUCAUCUCAAAUAUACCACGCUUGAAUUCCAUUUAAUUUGCAGUGUGCCUAACAUAUUACCUGAUAUUUUACCAUUAGCGGGUUUCUCUCUUGGCUAAAGAUUUUCUUGAUUGCUCAUAAGGGAGGUCUAUUUCAUGUACAUUAGGACUGUAGAGAAAGGAACAGCUACAUCUGCCUAGAGAAAUCCAUACAGAAGAGGGAAAUGCUUGUGCUGAGGCUUGAAAGAGGAGGAAACACUGGCUCCAUGAAGCCUUCAUCGACCCUCAAGGAUUGCUCCUUCCUGUCCUUUAUUUCCAUUGAUAAGAAAAAGCUGUCUGUAACUGAUUUCCAGGCCGAAGUACAAGAACAGCUUCCCACUGUCGCUAGUCUCUGGGUGCCUCAACAUCCCUUGUUUGUUUCUUUAACCUGCUUGUAACCUUGCAAGCAGGAAAUGUGUACAUUCUAUAGUCCAUUCAUCCAAGUUGACAAGAAGAAACCUCAGGCAUGAAGACAGAACAAGCAUUUCUCAACAAUACAAAGUGAUAAAGCGUCAAAAUGAGCUUCA